GCUUUCGUGGUGUAGUGGUCAGCACGCUCGGAGUGUAUAUUCAAGAGGUUCGUGGUUCGAAUCCCGGCGAGGGCG
RNAcentral lists this transfer RNA (75 nucleotides) under Stegodyphus mimosarum. It matches the Rfam family "tRNA". Rfam says of the family: Transfer RNA (tRNA) molecules are approximately 80 nucleotides in length. The record is from Rfam by way of RNAcentral. Lineage: Eukaryota; Metazoa; Arthropoda; Arachnida; Araneae; Eresidae.